AACCUAUACCACAGCUCACAGCAAUGCCAGAUCCUUAACCCACUGAGCAAGGCCAGGCAUCAAACCUGCAUCUUCAUGGAUACUAGUCAGAUUCGUUACCAAUGAGCCACAAUAUGAUGUAAAAUCUUGAUGCCUAUAACUUUAAAGUAUUACUUCUGAAUUUUACUGUAAUUCAUCAGGUAAAUUCACUUCUGGGUAGUGAAAUGAUAAAAAUCUACUUCCAGAAUGAAAGAAUCUUAGAAUACUCUAUGUAAUUAAUCUUACAGAUCUAUAUAGACUUUUGUUUGUAUAUUGCAUUUAUAUGUGUGUGAAUACAUAAUAUGAAAUGUAGGUGAAUAAGGAUAUGUCUGUGCCUGAGUUACUGGUAGCUCAAAAAAUAGUAAAAAUAAUGCAUAUAAACUUGUAUUUAUAUUUAAUAUAUUUGUUUGUCAUAAAAUCUAUCCAUUUAAAAAAUUGAUAUUCAAGUCUAAAGUCUAAAACAGAAUUGUGCCAAGAUUUCAGUUAAGAUUUGUUGUCCAGUAAAUCUUAUAAAUUAAUUUUAGGGAUGGUUCUAAACAGUAAAAAAGUAGAGACAAUAUGUGGCAAAUCCUUUUUUAAUUACUUAAGGAGUUCAAUGAAAUUGAAUUACAAAAAUUUUAAUACUUAUUUUGUUAGGGUUUGCAUAUUUAAAACUACCUUGGAGAUAUUCAAAUGGAAUUUAUUUUACUCUUUUCAUAUACUUAUCUUAAAAUAUGUGCUUUAGUAUAAAUUAUACCAUUAUAUUUAGCAAAUUGCUUAGCAUAUUAUAGUAAUUGUAUAAUUGCUCUUUAUUUCAAGUGUCAUUAUUACUAGGAAUGAUUGAAAUAAUGCAUAUAAUGUGCCUAAUACAGUAUCUGACAUAGAAAAUUCUCAGUAAAUAUUAGCUACUAUUAUAUUUUCUUUGUUGAGGUCCUAUGUAUUUAUAACUGUGGCUAUCAAUUCAAAAAGAGUUUAUAUACACUUUAAAAGUCCCAAGUUAAUUAUUUUUGAAGAAUGUUUCUUAUUGUAUCACUUUAACACUAUGAUUUUAUUCAACUGAAAUCAAGAACAAUAACAUGUUUCACUGCGAUAGAUUUCUAUUUCCUCACCUUUAUGUUCUGAUUUUGAGUGGAAGAAAGAUUUAUGAGUAGACACAGUAGAGAUGAGGAAACAAGCUAAUCAAUCUUAUUUUGUUCAUAAAAAACAAAGUGAAGCAACACAUUUUGGAGAAUUUCCAGGCACAAUUUGAGAAGUGGAAGUAAAGCAAUUCUAUCAAUGCAACUUCUUUGGUCAGUAAAUGCAAAGAAAAGGGUUAAGAAUCUCCAUUGAUCAAAUGGAAAUAUACAAGAUGUAUUAGAAUUGUAGUAUGGCUUUGUUAGUGAGAUUGUACAUAUAAUAUUUCCAGAAAUGAAAGUGGUAUUAUUUAGUUUCUCAUCCUCCACAAGGAAGUGAAUGCCACUGUUUUCAUCUACUGCUUGAGAUGUUCAUAUCACAUGAUAAAUGUAAAAAUAUUUUGUAAAGAAAUCUAUGAAAAUUCUGGGAUUAUAGACUUGAAUCAACUAGUCAGUUGUGAAAAACAUCAUUUCUGUGUAAAAUUCAGGAAUUCUUUUUGUAAUUUUUGAUAAGAAGAGUUUCAGUUAGGGCAAGGAUUUUCUCAAGGCCAGAAACUCAAAAGUUUACCUAGAAUAUACACUCUUCUUUACAACUUUAGAAUAGGGAAGAAUUCUUAAAUGGUCAAAAAGUUCAAACUCUAAAUGAAAAUGGAUAAAACAAUAGAAGACACAUUUGGCCACAUUAAAAGAAUGAUAUGGAAUGUAGAUGCAAUAAAAUUAUAAAUUACUCAAUGCAAGAAAGUAAACAGAUUUUAAUGUCAAAUCACCUAGACAGGUCUCUACACAUGCCCCAAUUCCCUCUUCAUAUAAGGACACCAACUAGUUUGAAUCAGGACCUAUCCUAAGGGCCUCAUUUUAACUUAACCUUUUUAAAAACCCUUUCUGCAAAAUAUAGUCACAUUCAGAGGUAUUGGGGGUUACAGCUUCAACAUAUGAAUUUGAGGGGAAGGGGACAUAACUCAUUCUAUAAGAAUCAUAUAAAAUCAUCAGAAAAUAAAAGUACAUUUUACUUCAAAGUUUAAAUGAAUACUGAUCAAAAUAUCAAAUAUGAUAAGUGAGUGAAUCAUCCAAAUAAGAUCUAAAACAAUCAUGUUCAGUCCACUUAAAUCUAAUAAAAUUAGUGCAAAUUCAGUGAGUUGACCUUACAAAAAUAAAAAGCCAAUUAUUUCACCAGGAAAAUUAGUUUACAUGGGAAUAGCAGAUGAAUUGCAAUUUGUGACACUCAAAUUAUAACCAACCAUGGGCAGGUCUGAGAAGACAAUGCGAAGUUCAGCUUUUUUAGGUUUUCAGAGGAAAUCAGAGGGUUCUGGUAGUGAUUCAUUGGCUGCAAGCAGUGGGCAGCUUGAUGGCUCAGAAGGAAAUCUUUCUGCUGGAUUCAGUAAGCUGUGGCAAGUGAAACAUGUGUGAGGGCUACUCACCUCCAUUUUACAUGGUUUCCUGUAUUUUCACAAGUGUCAUAGUACUACUUCUGGGCAUGGGGAGAGCAGGCAGAUACACUCAAAUCCAUCAGCUUGUUACUGCUGUCUUGGUGAGUAAAAGCCCAGACUGCCCCUGCACACCACGCAUGCAUAUUGGAACAGAACGUCUCCUCCUAGAGCCAUGUUCUGAAGUUACCAUGGGCUGGCUCUAAUUUAUCUUUGUCUUUUACCACCAGGGCAUUUUCCUGUCUUUUGUAUUUGGCUCUAUAUUUAAAAUUUGCAUAUGUUAUAUUUUUUCUAGUGUGUUCUAUGUGUUUUUAGCAAGAUAUAAGUUAUAUGCACCAGCUGUCUUCCAUAGUUUCUUAAGUCUGAUUUCUCUUUCUCCUGUAGGUUGUUUAGUAUGUUUUGUUUAUGUUCUAUGAUCAACUUGAAUAGUAUUCAGGGACAAAAACAGACAUCUCAUGUCAUAAUUUACUCCUUUUAUUUUACAGUUACUUUUCAUAUGUUAUUCAAUAUACAGGUUGCCUUUGAAUUAAAGAAAUUACUCGGGGAAGUCAAAAAAAUACCAUCUAAUUAAUUAAAACUACAAUUAGUUUUUUUUUUCCUCAAACUGAAAACCUGGUCUUGAAUCUAGAAAUAAAUUCUACUUAUUAAAGAAAAAUAUGAUGAAAAAAAUAUUUGUUCCUGGUACAAAGAGUGUGCUACUCAUAUUACAGAAGGAAGGAAAGUUAAAAUGAAAUUAAACUAUUUCCCAAAUGUAUGUUAUCAAAGACAAAAUAUACUUAAAGCCAAUCUAUAACACUUCAUUACAUUUUAGUAACUGGAAUGGAAAUAUAUGAAUCAAUGGAAAGAUGACUACUCAUCCGAUAGUUUUUAUUCUGAAAAUGCCAAGUUGUUAAUGAGUAAAGUGAACAGGAAAAAGACAAGUAAGAAGACAUUUAAACAAUGAGCAGAAUUCCAAAUUUCCAAGCUUUCCCACAGAUGGCUUUAAUUUAAAAGAUACCUUCAUGUAAAUAAGUCAGAUGACAUUGAAUAAAAAAGCUACUUUAAAGUAUAUGAAUAUGUAUGCAAUUAUCCAUAUUGAAAUAAGUAGAACCAAUCACAAUUUUAUAAUUUGAAGUAUCCUUCCAGGAAAUGCUUGUGUCCUGAUGAUGGUGAUUUGUUUUUUAAAUGAAAAUUAAAAUUGUGCUUGUGCUAGAUAGACAUUUAUAUGGUACAAACUUUAGUGUUUCAAAGCUAUUUCUAUUGAGUAUAUUUGGUACAUUUUUACUUUUGACUUAAUACAAAAAAUAUAAAUUAUUCAUGCUAUACAGAGAUAGGUAAUUGAUCUCAUAAGAUUCUGUAAGCAGAGUGUCAUUUCUGAUGAAAGGUAGAAACUUUGGAGUUUUCACCUGCCAUCAGCUAACUGACAGCCUUACCCCAAUCUAAAACCAAGCUAUUGAAUUCCAAUUUGUUCUUCAUGGCUAGUUUUACAUUAGCCUUAACAUGAAGUAAAUUGCUCUAAUAUGGAUAAUAUGAGGAAAAUUACAUGUAACCGAAGUUACAAGCAACGUGGUCAUUAAGGAUAUGUAAGUUUCGGGAGAAACCCUACUCAGGGUACAAACAAAGAGUUAAAUAGAUUCAAUAACACAUGAUUAAGUUACUUAAAAAUGAGAGUAAAUAGCCUAAAAAAGUUUGGAGAGGGUAGAUAUGGCUACAGAUGUUAACAACAUUUACUGUGUUAUGUAUUUGGAAGAAUGGAAGGACCCAAACCACACUAAGAAAGGGUUGUAUUCAUAUUUUGUGUUUUCCCAAACACUUUUAUUUUUAACCAAGUAGUAUUAAUAAUACCAAUUAAAACAAAUGCUAAAAUAAUAUAUUACUGAACUUUAAUCCUUUGCCAAAAAGUGUCCAAGGACAUUGUUAAUCUUCCCAUACUCUCAGCAGGCUUGCAUGGGAGAAAGUCUUACUGCUCCCAUUUCACAAAAGAGGAUGCUAAGAUAAAGGCAGGUUAGCAAACUUGCCCAGGGUCACAAAGCAUGUCAGUGGGAAAGACAGGAUUGAGUCCACAUAGAAUGUUCUGGUACCGAUGCCCUCAACCACUGUCCUAGCCAAUCUUUAUAAUACAAGUGUGAGUGCACCCACUCACUCCCUCAUAAAAUGACUAUAAAAAGAUCACGCCUAAUAUAAUGUACAGUGUGAUGCAUAAGAGAUACUCAAUAAUUAAAAACACAGGAUAUUAUACAAGAGGUAUUGGAUAAUUAAAAGCUAUCAUUUUCCUGAAAAAAAAAAUCAUUAUUUUAAAAGUAUAGAUAGUUCUACUUACCAAAUAAUACUGCUGUAUAUGUUCUGCAGAUAAUAAAAGUUAAAAAUUAUAAAAAUAAAUGCAACACGCAAUGUACAGUUUGAAUAAUUAAAACGACUUAUUGCAAUAGUUUUUUUUUCUGAAGUUAGAGUAUAUGUUGAGUUUCAUCCUUUUUAGACAAAAUAGAUUUUUUACAUUAUAAUUUGGACUAGAUUUAUAAAAGUUUUCCAACUAUACAGGCAACAUUUCUGUUUUCAAUAGAAAAGGUAUUCCUUUUCUUUUUCUUUUGAUUUACUAACCAGAAUUAAAACUGCAUUUUUUUCUAUUUUAUGCAGCUCUAGCAAACAAUAUUGAAAAACUGUCUUCAGGAAAUGAUUAUCCUUUAAAAUAUAAUGUUUGAAAGGAUAUGUGUAAAUUCAUAUACAUAUACAUGAAAAAUGUGCUUGUGUGAG
RNAcentral lists this long non-coding RNA (5263 nucleotides) under Sus scrofa (pig). RNAcentral describes it as "lncRNA (ENSSSCG00040040472.1)". The record is from RNAcentral. Lineage: Eukaryota; Metazoa; Chordata; Mammalia; Artiodactyla; Suidae.